Molecule: ribosomal RNA, 483 nt
Filed under: uncultured bacterium
Lineage: Bacteria
Description: partial 16S ribosomal RNA
Rfam family: Bacterial small subunit ribosomal RNA
Source: RNAcentral
GACGAACGCUGGCGGCGUGCCUAACACAUGCAAGUCGAGCGGGGAUCUAAGUGGCCGUUCUUCGGAAUGGAGAUUUAAAUUCUAGCGGCGGACGGGUGAGUACCGCGUGAACAUUCUGUCCCGGACAGGGGGAUAACACUUGGACACAGGUGCUAAUACCGCAUAAGACCACGGCCUCGCAUGCGGCUGAGGUAACAGGAGCAAUCCGGUCCGCGGUGAGUUCGCGUCCGAUUAGCUAGUUGGGGAGGUAACGGCCCACCAAGGCGACUCUCGGUAGCCGGCAUGAGGGGGUAAACGGCCACAUUGGAAGUGAGAGACGGUCCAAACCCCUACGGGAGGCAGCGGGGGGGACUAGUGGGCAACGGGCGAACGCGUGACCCAGCGACGCCGCGUGGGGGAAGAAGGUUUUCGGAGUGGAAAACUCUGUCCCAUGGGACGAAGGAAGUGACGGUACCAAAGGAGGAAGCCCCGGCUAACUACGUG